GAUGAACGCUGGCGGCGUGCCUAAUACAUGCAAGUCGAGCGAACAGACGAGGAGCUUGCUCCUCUGACGUUAGCGGCGGACGGGUGAGUAACACGUGGACAACCUACCUAUAAGACUGGGAUAACUUCGGGAAACCGGAGCUAAUACCGGAUAAUAUAUUGAACCGCAUGGUUCAAUAGUGAAAGACGGUUUUGCUGUCACUUAUAGAUGGAUCCGCGCCGCAUUAGCUAGUUGGUAAGGUAACGGCUUACCAAGGCGACGAUGCGUAGCCGACCUGAGAGGGUGAUCGGCCACACUGGAACUGAGACACGGUCCAGACUCCUACGGGAGGCAGCAGUAGGGAAUCUUCCGCAAUGGGCGAAAGCCUGACGGAGCAACGCCGCGUGAGUGAUGAAGGUCUUCGGAUCGUAAAACUCUGUUAUUAGGGAAGAACAAAUGUGUAAGUAACUAUGCACGUCUUGACGGUACCUAAUCAGAAAGCCACGGCUAACUACGUG
Molecule: ribosomal RNA, 497 nt
Filed under: uncultured bacterium
Lineage: Bacteria
Description: partial 16S ribosomal RNA
Rfam family: Bacterial small subunit ribosomal RNA
Source: RNAcentral